CUGUGUGAAUCACGAAUUAAGUAUCUUAUUUAUGUCCAAGGAGAAGGGAGCCAAUGUAUUUGUGCUGGCAUAGUGGUGAACUUGAGUUCUGAGUUUGAGGCUGGUCACUUCUCUAGGGCUCGGUUUUCCUAAUCCGUGAAAUGGGAGGUUUGUGCCAGAUGGUCCCUGAGGAGAUAGCAGGGCAGAGCUUCCUUUCUGCGCUUAAUGUCACCAUCUAUAGGAUUGGAGCCCAGGGACAGUCAGUGCCUCAGGUAAACUCCUCCAGUGACUUCAGGUUAGUGACUCUUUAAGGCUUUGAGACCCCAGUCCAGCAGGAGCCACUAAGGAAGCCGUCACUGUCAUCCUGGCUUUCGCAAGGGUGGUCACACUUGGCCAGAGCUGGAGGAAGGGCCUGGCAUUCUGGCCCAGGGGUGCAGGUUAGAAAGAGACCUUUUGUUGGUUGCAGUGUCUUGCCUCUCAGUUAGUACCGCACAGAGACCUCUGCGUGGAAGCCUUUUCUGGCAGAAAGGUCUGGGUGGUCUUGUUUACUCCAGCAUGACCAGAGAACAGACAGUUCUGCAGAGUGAACGUUAAAAGAAAAAAAAACAUCUACUAUAAUAAAGCGUAAUCAUCACGGAUAGCCCAGAACCCAGUUCCUAAGUCAAAAUAACAGCCUUGAAACAUUGGAAACACUUUCAUUAAGUGCUUAAGUUGGAUGAUAAAAUCUUGUGCCUAAGUCUGCAAUCAAAAACAAUAAAAUUCUCCUCC
RNAcentral lists this long non-coding RNA (747 nucleotides) under Bos taurus (domestic cattle). Its description in RNAcentral is "long non-coding RNA NONBTAT012629". Lineage: Eukaryota; Metazoa; Chordata; Mammalia; Artiodactyla; Bovidae. The record is from RNAcentral.